Crotalus tigris (Tiger rattlesnake) is the source of this 4880-nucleotide RNA transcript. It is a transcript of the gene named purinergic receptor P2Y1, with no coding region annotated. The record is from RefSeq and is a predicted model, not a curated record. The transcript has 7 exons. Lineage: Eukaryota; Metazoa; Chordata; Lepidosauria; Squamata; Viperidae.
CCUCUCGCGGCUCGCCUGCACUUCCUCGCCUGCCUGCCUGCCUGCCUGCCGGAGCAGCGCGCGUCAGCACGCUUUUUGCCCGCCUCGCCAGUGUGUGGGAAUGUGGCGGUCGCCGCGAGGAGCCCAAAGCUCGGGGCUCUGACGGGCACAUGCUUCGUGCCGCCGGCUCCUUCCGCUUCUCCCGCCUCGCCCGGGAGCUGCGAAGAAGGAACCGCGGCAUGAAGAAGAAGGAGGCGACGGCGGGCGCGGUGGCAGCACCACCAGAAGCCGCGCUAAGAGCGGCGGCGGCGGCGGCAAGACACCGCGUUGCCCGCUCUGGUCGAGCGUGUUGAGGCGUUCCCGAAGGGACACUUGCUGAUUCUAGAUCUUGAAAGCUACUGAUGUGAAUUCAUUGGUGUCACCAUGACUGAAGCCUUUCUUUCGGUUGUCCUGAAUUUGACUGAAACCCAUGCACUGGCUAACAAUGUGACCAGCAAUGCCACUAGCAAAUGUUCUUUGACCAAAACUGGUUUUCAGUUCUAUUACUUGCCAGUUGUCUACAUUGUAGUCUUCAUCACUGGAUUCCUAGGCAACAGUGUGGCCAUCUGGAUGUUUGUCUUCCACAUGAGGCCAUGGAGUGGCAUCUCAGUUUACAUGUUCAACUUGGCCCUAGCAGACUUUUUGUAUGUCCUGACACUCCCUCUCCUAAUAUUUUACUACUUCAAUCAAACGGACUGGAUCUUUGGAGACUUCAUGUGCAAGCUGCAGAGAUUUAUCUUUCAUGUCAAUCUAUAUGGAAGCAUCUUAUUUCUCACAUGCAUCAGUGUGCACAGAUACACUGGUGUGGUGCAUCCUUUAAAAUCAUUAGGGAGACUGAAAAAAAAGAAUGCUGUUUACAUCAGUACCCUGGUCUGGUUUAUUGUGGUAGUGGGAAUCUCUCCCAUCUUCUUUUACUCUGGGACUGAAGUAAAAAAAGACAAAACCAUGACAUGCUAUGACACAACAGUAGAUAAUUACCUGCGGAGCUACUUUAUUUACAGCAUGUGCACCACUGUCUUCUUGUUUUGCAUCCCAUUCAUUCUGAUCCUUGGUUGCUAUGGAUUAAUCGUGAAAGCACUGAUUUACAAAGAUUUAGACAAUUCUCCACUUAGGAGGAAAUCAAUUUACUUGGUUAUUAUAGUGUUGGCAGUAUUUGCUGUGUCUUAUCUUCCUUUCCACGUGAUGAAAAACUUGAAUCUACGCGCCCGGUUGGAUUUUCAGACUCCGGAAAUGUGUGCGUUUAACAACAGGGUUUAUGCUACCUACCAAGUAACUCGAGGGCUAGCGAGUCUCAACAGCUGUGUGGAUCCUAUUUUAUAUUUUUUGGCUGGAGACACUUUUCGGAGAAAGCUUUCCAGGGCAACUCGGAAAGCCUCAAGACGAAGUGAGCUCAAUGUGCAAUCCAAAAAGUCAAGUCGUCAGAGGCUCUCUACUGUAUUUUCAUGCAGCAAGGUUCUUCCCUCUGCAUCCUCUGGUCAUUCCUACAUGACACUAUAAAUAGGCAACAUUUGGCUGAAUGGAAAUCAACAUUUUUGCAAGGGGUCACUAUGCCCAAACUGUUCCCACUAUGACUACCAGAUCUGGCCUGCCACACUUAACAAUUAGCAGAGAAUAAUGAAGAGCUGGAGUUUUCUGUAUCUUAUCUACAUCUGCCAUGUAAUGGUCAUCUGGAUUUUGCUGCUCAGAUCUGACAGCCUUAGUUCCAACCACUCUGAACAGAUGUAUUUGUACUUUGGGACAGAAUUUUCACUGGAGUAAGAUUUUUUAUCUCAGCAGAGUCCUUGGAUGGAAGAUCAGAAAAUUCCAAGGCCUCAAGGACUGAGAAAAUGGAGUGGGGGUGGGGAAACUAGAAGAAAACAGUUGCAAAUUGUUUCCACACUGUUUCCAAAAAAUCUACAAGGAUGUCUAUACAAAGUCACCAGGAAGAAACUAAGCUUGACUUGAAGAUGACUUUUCAAUGGUUUUUCAAGCAUUGGGAACCACAUUCAAGAUUUCCAGGAACUUCCCUCUCAUUGUAUAAAAGAGCACAUUAACUAAAGUUAUCAGCUGGUGCUCUGUGGUGCAUUUUCAGCUUUUAAGGCAGAGGAGUGUUGUAAUGAGCAGCCUUGUCUUUCUAAGAAACCCUAUACAAUGUUGCCAGAAUAGUGGUUUUCAAACAUAAUGCAUUAUUCUUCCUUCAUUAGCAGUUAGACACUGAUCACCUUGUUGAUGUGAAUGGUACAAGAAGAGAAUCCCUCACAGGGAAGGAGAUGAAGCUUGUGGUAAUUGUUUUUUUAGCCAACACUGUUUAUUCAGUGGAAGUUUUACAUUUGCAUAUUUUGUGAAUCUAAAGAAUUAAAACUUUUGUAACAGACUAUUGUAAAGAAAGAGUAAAGGCUGGUAAUUGCAACAUUUUUUUCUCUGAUUAACAAUGCCUGAUUAACAAAGCAAGCAACAAUAAAAUGACUUGACUAUGACUAUGGCAAAUAGCCAGGGUUCCUUAUAAUUCAAAUCACAGCCAGUCUGGUUGUCAUUAACAAAGACAAAAUUGAAAUAAUAUCAUGUGGCAGUUAUCCCACAUUGGACUGAAAUGAUUCACCAGUUAGAAUGCAGUUGAGUGGAAAAGAGCUUUUCUUAAAUUGAUUUAAGGUUACAGAAUCUGUAGAUCAUUAACCUCUGUACUAAAUUAAUACAUUUUGAGGAACUGGAAGUUAUUUAGGGGGGUAGAAAACUAACUCUGAUUUUCUUAGGUAAGGGUUCCAGGUAAAAUGCAAAAUAUUUUUGCCCAGCAUUUUGGAUAGGAGGUUUAUUAAGUGUCAUUAAGUUUAGAUUAUUAUGAUAAGUACAAAGAAAAAACAUAGAAGAAAGAGUGCAUAUUUGGAUAGAGUAGAGUUACUGUAUGGUCAUAUUAUUUUAUUUUAUGAUAGAAAAAAGAAUACAAUUUUUGGCAAUAUCAGUUUAAUUCAAAUCUCAAAAUACAGUACAGCUACAAUUUGUAAUCCAACAUUUCUUUCAAGUUAUACAUUUGUGUUGGGCUAAUUGCAGUAAUUCUUGGCUUGCUAAAGAAGCUACCACUGGCUAAAUUGAUAUGUGAGAUAUGAAGUACAUUUUUCAAAGUACAAUGGCUCAUGUUACACAAGCCAAGACAAAAUCAAAUGAACCACAGCUUAUCAUAACAUGGCAAUCUCAGCAAGGUUCAUGGCUGAGUCACAACUGUGAAUCAGUUAAAUUGUUUGUUUCUCAGAACUGCCCUUUAAGCUAUAACUUUCUCUUUAACCUGAAGGAAUAGCCCUUAGUUUGGGUGACUGCUCACUUCCCUAUCUUUUCAGAUAAUCUGCAGCACAGUAAUAUAAAAGGCAAUUGCUUUUUAACCAUUAAGUUAAAUUAAGUACUUACAGGCAUUACAAUUACUGUAACUAUCAGAACAAUAAUUACAAGAACUAAACCUUUGCUACUUCAUAGAUUGAUUGCUGUAACAAAAAUGGCAUUGCUGCUUUUCAAUAUUGAUUACUGUAGCAAAACGGCAUUGCAACACAGAAAUGAUAGCUCUUGCACCAUUGUGUCUCUGGUUGAAGCAUCAAGGUAGACUAUUUCAUUAUGCCUCACUGCUUCCACAAAAAUGUUUCCUGCCCUAAACUUACCAUUCAAUUUUAGUGCAUCUAGGCCUUGUUGUAUAAAGAUGGCUUAUAAAGUUUGACCAAAGGAAUUUUACAAUCCUAAUUAACGCCAGCCUGAUCUGUAAUGCCUGGAGAUGUACAUCAUAGCAGAUGCAAUGCAUUUAGUAAUCCAUCUGAAAUGCCAGUAUCACUCACCUGAACCUUGGAAGCAUUGCUCUUUUUUAAUCCUCUCCCUACUUUCAGUAAUGAAAAUGACCAAGAUAUUUUAUUAUUUUUAUAUUCCUGACUUUGUUCAUGGAAUUCCUGGCUAUUUUCCAGCCUCAUGGUUGGGAUUGUUUUUUCUUUUUUUCUGUUCUCCUCACCCUACUUAAUGUGGCUAUUUUAAAAUGAAAGUUUCAGAAAGAAAUUCCAUCUGGGGAUUUUCAAAUUAGUGAAAAAGGUCUCUGUUUUAUAUAUCCACCAAUGUAUUAGGUAUUUCCAGAUUAACUGGAAAUCAUAAUUUGAAAACAUGCAGUGUAUUGUCAGGUUUGCUUCACAAGCAUGAAAAAGGUUAACUUAUGGUAUAAUUUGUAAGCCCCUCUUUAAAAGAAACACAGCAUUUACUCAACUACACCAUAAAAUAAAUUGUGCUACAAGAACAGAAAUGUUAUUCUGCCAGAAUUUUCAAGUAGUGUGUUCUGUCUAAUGAUAUAUUUUUACAUUUCUCCCCAUUAUAUUGACUCCUAAGUCUUAACAGACCAUGGGAUCAUCCUGUUGUAUGUAUGAUGCUCACCCUGUUUUGUUUAUCCAGAGAUUGUAAAUAUAUACAUCAAUCUUCCUCAUUUAGUGUCUUUCACAUGUCAAAUUAUGUCAUACUUAGCUGGGAUUGAUUGAAAACCAACAUAUUUGUUGAAUAGAAAAGCCUCCAAAUGCAGCAUAUCCUAAAAACCAGACACUGUGAAGAAACCGUCGGACAGCGUUACUACUUUCAUGUCCUCCAAAAGAGUUUCUUAGAUGCAUCUGAGCAUGUAUGACACAGAGCACUGAAAUAGACUGGCCUAAAACAGUAGGUUUUUUAUGACGGGAGUAGACUGAGUAGAGAUUUAUUCAGUUUUUUAACAAUCAAGUGAAGUCGUUAAGGCACCACACUAGAUACUGGGAGACCAAGUUGUAGUGCUGUCUUAGGCACACAGCCAGCUGGAUGACUUUGGGCCAGUCACUUUCUCUCAGCCCUAGGAGGCAGUCAAGGGCAAACUACUUCUGUAACCUUGCAAAAAAAAAACAAAA